AGAGUUUGAUCCUGGCUCAGAUUGAACGCUGGCGGCAUGCCUUACACAUGCAAGUCGAACGGCAGCACGAGAGCUUGCUCUUGGUGGCGAGCGGCGAACGGGUGAGUAAUAUAUCGGAACGUACCCUAGAGUGGGGGAUAACGUAGCGAAAGUUACGCUAAUACCGCAUACGAUCUACGGAUGAAAGUGGGGGAUCGCAAGACCUCAUGCUCAUGGAGCGGCCGAUAUCUGAUUAGCUAGUUGGUGGGGUAAAAGCUCACCAAGGCGACGAUCAGUAGCUGGUCUGAGAGGACGACCAGCCACACUGGAACUGAGACACGGUCCAGACUCCUACGGGAGGCAGCAGUGGGGAAUUUUGGACAAUGGGCGCAAGCCUGAUCCAGCAAUGCCGCGUGAGUGAAGAAGGCCUUCGGGUUGUAAAGCUCUUUUGUCAGGGAAGAAACGGUGGACUCUAAUACAGAUCACUAAUGACGGUACCUGAAGAAUAAGCACCGGCUAACUACGUGCCAGCAGCCGCGGUAAUACGUAGGGUGCAAGCGUUAAUCGGAAUUACUGGGCGUAAAGCGUGCGCAGGCGGUUGUGCAAGACAGAUGUGAAAUCCCCGGGCUCAACCUGGGAAUUGCAUUUGUGACUGCACGGCUAGAGUGUGUCAGAGGGGGGUAGAAUUCCACGUGUAGCAGUGAAAUGCGUAGAGAUGUGGAGGAAUACCGAUGGCGAAGGCAGCCCCCUGGGAUAACACUGACGCUCAUGCACGAAAGCGUGGGGAGCAAACAGGAUUAGAUACCCUGGUAGUCCACGCCCUAAACGAUGUCUACUAGUUGUCGGGUCUUAAUUGACUUGGUAACGCAGCUAACGCGUGAAGUAGACCGCCUGGGGAGUACGGUCGCAAGAUUAAAACUCAAAGGAAUUGACGGGGACCCGCACAAGCGGUGGAUGAUGUGGAUUAAUUCGAUGCAACGCGAAAAACCUUACCUACCCUUGACAUGUCUGGAAUCCUUGAGAGAUCAGGGAGUGCUCGAAAGAGAAUCAGAACACAGGUGCUGCAUGGCUGUCGUCAGCUCGUGUCGUGAGAUGUUGGGUUAAGUCCCGCAACGAGCGCAACCCUUGUCAUUAGUUGCUACGAAAGGGCACUCUAAUGAGACUGCCGGUGACAAACCGGAGGAAGGUGGGGAUGACGUCAAGUCCUCAUGGCCCUUAUGGGUAGGGCUUCACACGUCAUACAAUGGUACAUACAGAGGGCCGCCAACCCGCGAGGGGGAGCUAAUCCCAGAAAGUGUAUCGUAGUCCGGAUUGUAGUCUGCAACUCGACUACAUGAAGUUGGAAUCGCUAGUAAUCGCGGAUCAGCAUGUCGCGGUGAAUACGUUCCCGGGUCUUGUACACACCGCCCGUCACACCAUGGGAGCGGGUUUCACCAGAAGUGGGUAGCCUAACCGCAAGGAGGGCGCUCACCACGGUGGGAUUCGUGACUGGGGUGAAGUCGUAACAAGGUA
RNAcentral lists this ribosomal RNA (1491 nucleotides) under metagenome. RNAcentral's name for it is "bacterial SSU rRNA". It matches the Rfam family "Bacterial small subunit ribosomal RNA". The record is from RNAcentral.